AUCCAUGGUUUGAUUAAAUCCAUUAAUAUUUACAGUGAUAUUAUCCCAAAUCUUCAAAUCAAUUAGAGUCAGACUUGACCCUCAUCAUUUGCAAGAUGCUUAUUUAUAAAAUUAUAUUAAUUGUUCCAGAAAAAGCAACAUUGCUGCCAUUUUUUUAAAUAAAAAGCAACAUUUUUGCCAUUUUUACCGGAUUUUUGUGACAAAAAUGUCGGUUAUUGAUUUGGGAAUGUACGGCGGGCGGUUGGUCGGUCGGGCGGGCGGCAAUCAAAUGUUGUCCGUGCAUUAACUCAUGAACCGUUAACCAAA
RNAcentral lists this long non-coding RNA (306 nucleotides) under Mytilus galloprovincialis (Mediterranean mussel). Lineage: Eukaryota; Metazoa; Mollusca; Bivalvia; Mytilida; Mytilidae. The record is from RNAcentral.